GAUGAACGCUGGCGGCGCGCCUAACACAUUGCAAGUCGAACGGCACCCCUCUCCGGAGGGAAGCGAGUGGCGAACGGCUGAGUAACACGUGGAGAACCUGCCCCCUCCCCCGGGAUAGCCGCCCGAAAGGACGGGUAAUACCGGAUACCCCGGGGUGCCGCAUGGCACCCCGGCUAAAGCCCCGACGGGAGGGGAUGGCUCCGCGGCCCAUCAGGUAGACGGCGGGGUGACGGCCCACCGUGCCGACAACGGGUAGCCGGGUUGAGAGACCGACCGGCCAGAUUGGGACUGAGACACGGCCCAGACUCCUACGGGAGGCAGCAGUGGGGAAUCUUGCGCAAUGGGGGGAACCCUGACGCAGCGACGCCGCGUGCGGGACGGAGGCCUUCGGGUCGUAAACCGCUUUCAGCAGGGAAGAGUCAAGACUGUACCUGCAGAAGAAGCCCCGGCUAACUACGUGCCAGCAGCCGCGGUAAUACGUAGGGGGCGAGCGUUAUCCGGAUUCAUUGGGCGUAAAGCGCGCGUAGGCGGCCCGGCAGGCCGGGGGGUCGGAAGCGGGGGGCUCAACCCCCCGAAGCCUCUGGAACCUCCGCGGCUUGGGUCCGGUAGGGGAGGGUGGAACACCCGGUGUAGCGGUGGAAUGCGCAGAUAUCGGGUGGAACACCGGUGGCGAAGGCGGCCCUCUGGGCCGAGACCGACGCUGAGGCGCGAAAGCUGGGGGAGCGAACAGGAUUAGAUACCCUGGUAGUCCCAGCCGUAAACGAUGGACGCUAGGUGUGGGGGGACGAUCCCCCCGUGCCGCAGCCAACGCAUUAAGCGUCCCGCCUGGGGAGUACGGCCGCAAGGCUAAAACUCAAAGGAAUUGACGGGGGCCCGCACAAGCAGCGGAGCAUGUGGCUUAAUUCGAAGCAACGCGAAGAACCUUACCAGGGCUUGACAUAUGGGUGAAGCGGGGGAGACCCCGUGGCCGAGAGGAGCCCAUACAGGUGGUGCAUGGCUGUCGUCAGCUCGUGUCGUGAGAUGUUGGGUUAAGUCCCGCAACGAGCGCAACCCCCGCCGCGUGUUGCCAUCGGGUGAUGCCGGGAACCCACGCGGGACCGCCGCCGUCAAGGCGGAGGAGGGCGGGGACGACGUCAAGUCAUCAUGCCCCUUAUGCCCUGGGCUGCACACGUGCUACAAUGGCCGGUACAGAGGGAUGCCACCCCGCGAGGGGGAGCGGAUCCCGGAAAGCCGGCCCCAGUUCGGAUUGGGGGCUGCAACCCGCCCCCAUGAAGUCGGAGUUGCUAGUAAUCGCGGAUCAGCAUGCCGCGGUGAAUGCGUUCCCGGGCCU
This 1330-nucleotide ribosomal RNA is filed under the name uncultured bacterium. Its description in RNAcentral is "bacterial SSU rRNA". It matches the Rfam family "Bacterial small subunit ribosomal RNA", at positions 28 to 1381 of the family's 1533-position model. The record is from RNAcentral.